CCAUUUAAAGCCCAAAUCAAACCGCCAAACCGAAUCAAACCGAAUAGUUCGGUUCGAUUUAGAAUCGGUUAACUAUCUGUGUUUGGUUCAGUUUAGUUUUCUUAGCUAAACUAUUCGGUUUGCUCGGUUCAGCCUCAUUCCAGACUGAACCGAUCUUUGCACACCGUUACAAGUGGCAACGCCUCCCUCGCCUGGCAGCUCCUCCGCGAGCUCGCGACGUAUGUGAUGGUGUAGCUGUUGUCCACCUCGUGGCCGCAUCCACGGUGUGCUGUUGUCCCUUCUUCGUGUGGUCUAUGACCACGUGGUUGGUCCAUAACCUUGUGGAUGGCGACGCAUCUUCUGUCUUCCCAGUGCUUGUGUUGCUCGUUGCUGGCUUCCGCAAGCUCGCCAGUUGCGUCGAGUGGUCCCCGACCUGAUGGCUCCUCCGCGACCAUGCGGCUUGUGUUAUGUUGUAGCAUUUUCCUUGGUCGUGGAAGCAUCCACGCCUUAUGGCUUACUGUUGCUGGCUGCUACAGUCCUGUGACCUUCUUGCCGUGCCUCUGCUGUAGGCCCGUGAGAAAUUUCAUUACCGCAAUGCGGCUCACUCCAA
RNAcentral lists this long non-coding RNA (589 nucleotides) under Ricinus communis (castor bean). RNAcentral's name for it is "long non-coding RNA (RCOM_LNC001378)". Lineage: Eukaryota; Viridiplantae; Streptophyta; Magnoliopsida; Malpighiales; Euphorbiaceae. The record is from RNAcentral.